GAUGAACGCUGGCGGCGUGCCUAACACAUGCAAGUCGAACGGACGAGAAGAGCUUGCUCUUCGAGUUAGUGGCGGACGGGUGAGUAACGCGUGAGCAAUCUGCCUUUCAGAGGGGGAUAACAUUGGGAAACCGGUGCUAAUACCGCAUGAUGUGCGAGGGUCGCAUGACUCUUGUACCAAAGGAGCAAUCCGCUGAAAGAUGAGCUCGCGUCUGAUUAGCUAGUUGGUGAGGUAACGGCCCACCAAGGCGACGAUCAGUAGCCGGACUGAGAGGUUGAACGGCCACAUUGGAACUGAGAUACGGUCCAGACUCCUACGGGAGGCAGCAGUGGGGAAUAUUGGGCAAUGGGCGCAAGCCUGACCCAGCAACGCCGUGUGAAGGAAGAAGGUCUUCGGAUUGUAAACUUUUGUCUUAUGGGACGAUAGUGACGGUACCAUAGGAGGAAGUCACGACUAACUACGUG
This 464-nucleotide ribosomal RNA is filed under the name uncultured bacterium. RNAcentral's name for it is "bacterial SSU rRNA". It matches the Rfam family "Bacterial small subunit ribosomal RNA", at positions 28 to 507 of the family's 1533-position model. The record is from RNAcentral.